GCUACUGAGUGGGAUAGCUCAGUUGGUAGAGCAUGAGACUCUUAAUCUCAGGGUUGUUGUUUUGAGCCCCACAUUGGGCA
Non-coding RNA from Podarcis lilfordi (Lilford's wall lizard), 80 nucleotides. Lineage: Eukaryota; Metazoa; Chordata; Lepidosauria; Squamata; Lacertidae. The record is from the annotation of a GenBank genome assembly.